RNAcentral lists this ribosomal RNA (694 nucleotides) under uncultured bacterium. RNAcentral's name for it is "bacterial SSU rRNA". It matches the Rfam family "Bacterial small subunit ribosomal RNA", at positions 111 to 823 of the family's 1533-position model. The record is from RNAcentral.
UAACGCGCGGGUAACCUGCCUCACACUGGGGGAUAACAGUUAGAAAUAGCUGCUAAUACCGCAUAAGCGCACGGUUCCGCAUGGAACAGUGUGAAAAACUCCGGUGGUGUGAGAUGGACCCGCGUCUGAUUAGCCAGUUGGCGGGGUAACGGCCCACCAAAGCGACGAUCAGUAGCCGGCCUGAGAGGGUGAACGGCCACAUUGGGACUGAGACACGGCCCAAACUCCUACGGGAGGCAGCAGUGGGGAAUAUUGCACAGUGGGGGAAACCCUGAUGCAGCGACGCCGCGUGAGUGAAGAAGUAUUUCGGUAUGUAAAGCUCUAUCAGCAGGGAAGAAAGUGACGGUACCUGAAUAAGAAGCCCCGGCUAACUACGUGCCAGCAGCCGCGGUAAUACGUAGGGGGCAAGCGUUAUCCGGAUUUACUGGGUGUAAAGGGAGCGUAGACGGCAAGGCAAGUCUGAAGUGAAAGCCCGGUGCUUAACGCCGGGACUGCUUUGGAAACUGUUUGGCUGGAGUGCCGGAGAGGUAAGCGGAAUUCCUAGUGUAGCGGUGAAAUGCGUAGAUAUUAGGAAGAACACCAGUGGCGAAGGCGGCUUACUGGACGGUAACUGACGUUGAGGCUCGAAAGCGUGGGGAGCAAACAGGAUUAGAUACCCUGAUAGUCCACGCCGUAAACGAUGAUUGCUAGGUGU